CCCGGGGUAGCUCAAUGGUAGAGCAGUCGGCUGUAGACCGACGUGUUGGGAGUUCGAUUCUCCUCCCCGGGA
This 72-nucleotide transfer RNA is filed under the name Nanobdellota archaeon. RNAcentral's name for it is "tRNA-Tyr". It matches the Rfam family "tRNA". From Rfam's summary of the family: Transfer RNA (tRNA) molecules are approximately 80 nucleotides in length. Their secondary structure includes four short double-helical elements and three loops (D, anti-codon, and T loops). Lineage: Archaea; Nanobdellati; Nanobdellota. The record is from RNAcentral.